AUUGUAACAUUUUCUCUGAGUGAAUUAAUCAGCAAUGGCCAUUCUAUUUAUUUUAUAAAAAGAGUCUUUAUCAAUAAAUGGCUUACUCAAUUCUUGUGCGUGAGGUUUUAUUAAAUAUUUGGAACUAAAAGAUUUUAAGAAGAGCAACUACCGUAUGAAAGUGAAAGGUCAGGAGUUUUGCUUUUCUGCUCUGACUGGGCUAAUGAAAACAGGCCUACACCAUAUACAGUGUGCACUGACUGGGCUAAUGAAGACGGGCCUGCACCAUACAGUGUGCACCAACUCGGCUAAUGAAGACGGGCCUGCACCAUACAGUGUGCACCGACUGGGCUAAUGAAGACGGGCCUACACCAUACAGUGUGCACCGACUGGGCUAAUAAAAAUGGGCGUACACCAUACAGUGUGCACCGACUGGGCUAAUAAAAAUGGGCGUACACCAUACAGUGUGCAUCGACUCGGCUAAUGAAGACGGGCCUACACCAUACAGUGUGCACCAACUGAAGUAAUAAAGACGGGCCUGCAUCAGUGUGCACCGACUGGGCUAAGGAAGACACUCCUACACCAUACAGUGUGUUGAGGGAAAUUUUCCCCUGACAGCGACUCUACAGCUUCUCUUUUUUCAAAUUUCAACUGUCAGGACCUCGUUUUUUUGUCUCAUCCGAACAACUAGACAGCGGGGGAAACCAAACUAACACUAUACAAAAGUAUUUAACAUAAAUAUAAAUUAAUACCUUUAAGAAUAAAAAAAUAAGUUCA
Long non-coding RNA from Patella vulgata (common limpet), 756 nucleotides. RefSeq lists it as uncharacterized. Lineage: Eukaryota; Metazoa; Mollusca; Gastropoda; Patellidae. The transcript is spliced from 3 exons. The record is from RefSeq and is a predicted model, not a curated record.